Herpailurus yagouaroundi (jaguarundi) is the source of this 624-nucleotide long non-coding RNA. RefSeq lists it as uncharacterized. The transcript is spliced from 2 exons. Lineage: Eukaryota; Metazoa; Chordata; Mammalia; Carnivora; Felidae. The record is from RefSeq and is a predicted model, not a curated record.
CGGGGGUACUGAGCCAGCCGGCUGCGGCGCGGGGGGACCGGAAGGUCCCGCCCCUUUCCGGUCUCAGCAGCAGCCCGAACGGGUGGCCUAGUGUUUCGGCCCCCGAGAUUUUGCGGGUCCCACUGAGCCGGGGCUUACUCCCCUCCCACGUACUCCGGGCCAGAGGCCCAAGGUUUAGUCAGAUCUCUUGGGCUAGGAUGCUGAGUCCUGUCAUGACUGGACUAGUUAGUGCCUCCGCCUGAUCCCUGGGAGGAAAAGCAUAACACCCACGCCCUCCCAGCCAUAUUUUCCAGAGAUACUCCUGCCAAAUUCGGGAUUUGGGAUGUCUGUGCAUGAUACGUAGCAGAUAAUUUGCAACAUGCAAGUUCCGUGCUAUCAGGAAGACUAAAAUUAAUGUAUGGAGACUUCCCGUUUUUAAUGAGCCACAUAAGCCAGUUGUAGUGGAUGACACAGAACUGUAAAAUAUUCCAAAGGCUGCCACAGUCCCAAGAACUAGAGAUAACUGCCACCCGCAAAUCAAGGUAAAUGUAAAUACAGUGUGGUUCUAAUUUUUUUCAUACAAUCUCAGACAACCCCAAGUAACUUUAUAAAUAACUAAUGAAAAAAAAAAAAGCAAUUUUAAAA